Molecule: ribosomal RNA, 525 nt
Filed under: Polybetes pythagoricus
Lineage: Eukaryota; Metazoa; Arthropoda; Arachnida; Araneae; Sparassidae
Description: partial 16S ribosomal RNA
Rfam family: Bacterial large subunit ribosomal RNA (bases 98-398)
Source: RNAcentral
UUUAAUUAAAGACUAGAAUGAAAGAUUUAACAUUUAAAUUCUUUUUUAAAAUAUUAAUUUACAAUUUAUUAUAAAUGUAAAAAAACAUUUAUUAAUAAGAAAGACGACAAGACCCUAUCGAACUUAACUUAAGUUAAACUGGGGCAGUUAAUCAAAAACCAUUUUAAUUAAAUCCUUUAUAAAAAUGACCCGAUCUUAUCGACCUAAUAAUCAAGUUACCGUAGGGAUAACAGCGUAAUAAUCUUUUAUAGAUCUUAUACAAAAGAAAGAUUGCGACCUCGAUGUUGAAUUAAUCAUCCUAUUUCAUGCAAUAAUGAAAAAAGAAAGUCUGUUCGACUUUUAAAUGAUCACAUGAUUUGAGUUCAGACCGGUGUAAACCAGGUCGGAUUCUAUCUUCUUCAUCCUCUUUACAGUACGAAAGGACCCAAAGAUAUUUUAUUAUCUUAGCAGAUAAAUGCAUUAGAAUUAGAAUCUAAUUAACUAAAAAUACUAUUCUCAAUCAAUUUUAUUAUUUCCACAAUCUGU